Molecule: ribosomal RNA, 440 nt
Filed under: uncultured bacterium
Lineage: Bacteria
Description: partial 16S ribosomal RNA
Rfam family: Bacterial small subunit ribosomal RNA
Source: RNAcentral
CCUACGGGUGGCAGCAGUGGGGGAUAUUGCACAAUGGGGGAAACCCUGAUGCAGCGACGCCGCGUGUGGGAAGACGGUCCUCUGGAUUGUAAACCACUGUCCCCAGGGACCAAGAUGACGGUACCUGGGGAGGAAGCUCCGGCUAACUACGUGCCAGCAGCCUCGGUAAUACGUAGGGAGCGAGCGUUGUCCGGAAUUACUGGGGGUAAAGGGAGCGUAGGCGGGACUGCACGUUGGGUGUCAAAUCUACCGGCUCAACCGGUAGCCGCACUCAAAACUGCAGUUCUUGAGUGAAGUAGAGGCAGGCGGAAUUCGUAGUGUAGCGGUGAAAUGCGUAGAUAUUAGGAGGAACACCAGUGGCGAAGGCGGCCUGCUGGGCUUUUACUGACGCUGAGGCUCGAAAGUGUGGGGAGCGAACAGGAUUAGAUACCCGGGUAGUC